Molecule: unclassified non-coding RNA, 263 nt
Filed under: plant metagenome
Description: partial contains small subunit ribosomal RNA, internal transcribed spacer 1, and 5.8S ribosomal RNA
Source: RNAcentral
UUUCCGUAGGUGAACCUGCGGAAGGAUCAUUAUUGUAUAACCGAGGUGCGAGGGCUGUCGCUGACCCGAAAGGUCGUGCACGCCCGAGGGCCCUCACACACAUCCAUCUCACCCCUAUGUGCACCACCGCGUGGGUCCCCCUUUGGCUUGUUCGGAGGGGGGCUUACGUGUUCAAACAAACUUUGUAUGCAGUGUAGAAUGUAUUUUUUGUUUUUGCGAUCACGCAAUCAAUACAACUUUCAACAACGGAUCUCUUGGCUCUC